Molecule: long non-coding RNA, 249 nt
Filed under: Setaria italica (foxtail millet)
Lineage: Eukaryota; Viridiplantae; Streptophyta; Magnoliopsida; Poales; Poaceae
Description: long non-coding RNA (SITA_LNC004667)
Source: RNAcentral
UUCUCUCCUUGUUUUGUGAACGGGGAUAUUCCCCCAAUCUGUAGUGCAUUGACCGGAACAAAAGCUCUACUCCCUCAGCAAAAGGCCGUCUGUGCAGCGCCCUCAUUGUCGCGCGGAGUUCGCCGGGGAGCAGGAUCGACGCGCGGCCCCCCCCUCACCACGCUCGGCCUUCAAAGGUGCAUCUUCGCCAGGCUCGGGCUCCAGCUCGCCAACAGCCCCUUUGUCACCAAGCUCGGCCUCCUCUUCGUC